This is a long non-coding RNA of Vespa crabro (European hornet), 845 nucleotides long. RefSeq lists it as uncharacterized. Lineage: Eukaryota; Metazoa; Arthropoda; Insecta; Hymenoptera; Vespidae. The transcript has 3 exons. The record is from RefSeq and is a predicted model, not a curated record.
AUAAUACAUGUGUACAUUUAUACGCAUAUAUAUAAUUUCUCCGUUUGACUUUUAACAUCGAAUAUAAUCGAUUGCAAAUGUCAAAACUGACAUACAUAUGUAUAAAAUUAUAGCUACAUAUUUGUAAUGAUAUACUCGGGAUGAUAAAUGGAUCGAUUUGGUGCGUCAAUGUAACGGAGAAGAUGAUAAGACCUCAUUAACUACCGUAACAAGCACGAUACAGGAUAGCAUUUUAAGCACACAAUCGCAAUCAAUAAAAUCGAUCUAUGAUAAGAGAAGAGAUUUCGAAGGACAUGUACUUCAACGAUCAGGGGGUGGUCGGGUAUUCAGUUAUCGGAAAAAAAAGGCUUCGAUUGGAAACGGAAUUUUUAGUGCUCCGGCUGGAGUCAAUCCUCACCACGUUGCUUCUUCGAUUGUACGACGAAACACAGGCGGUUCAAGAUUGAUAUUCAUAUGGCCACAAAAAGUACGUACAAGGGGAAGACUUUUGAGCAUUUUUGCACCACUUUUGCACGGUUUUUUGAUUGGAUUAUUAUGCAUGGACGCGAUUCAUCUCUGGCCUGGAGAAUUUUUACCGACGUCCCUUCCGACCACUACACCUAUACCAUUGCCACCAGUGAAAUGUAACGUGAUUGAGCCCUCUUGGUUCGACACUACAUGAGAACGAUUGUGAAUGACUUUUUUGAGAACAAAAAAAGGGAGAAGAAAGAAAAAAAAAACAGAUAAAAAAGUAAAAACAAUGACGAAUUUUUGCGUUUCAUUAAUAUCGAGAAAUCUAAUAGUCUCCUGUAUUUGUUUAAAAAAAUUUCGGAUAAAAAAGAUUUCAUUUAUUUUUAUGUUAUCCU